RNAcentral lists this ribosomal RNA (478 nucleotides) under uncultured bacterium. RNAcentral describes it as "partial 16S ribosomal RNA". It matches the Rfam family "Bacterial small subunit ribosomal RNA", at positions 28 to 523 of the family's 1533-position model. The record is from RNAcentral.
GACGAACGCUGGCGGCGUGCUUAACACAUGCAAGUCGAACGGUAAGGCCCUUCGGGGUACACGAGUGGCGAACGGGUGAGUAACACGUGGGUGAUCUGCCCUGCACUUCGGGAUAAGCCUGGGACACUGGGUCUAAUACCGGAUAGGACCACUGCCUGCAUGGGUGGUGGUGGAAAGCUUUUGCGGUGUGGGAUGGGCCCGCGGCCUAUCAGCUUGUUGGUGGGGUGAUGGCCUACCAAGGCGACGACGGGUAGCCGGCCAGAGAGGGUGACCGGCCACACUGGGACUGAGAUACGGCCCAGACUCCUACGGGAGGCAGCAGUGGGGAAUAUUGCACAAUGGGCGCAAGCCUGAUGCAGCGACGCCGCGUGAGGGAUGACGGCCUUCGGGUUGUAAACCUCUUUCAGCACCGACGAAGCGCAAGUGACGGUAGGUGCAGAAGAAGGACCGGCCAACUACGUGCCAGCAGCCGCCGUAA